CGGACGGGUGAGUAAUGUCUGGGAAACUGCCCGAUGGAGGGGGAUAACUACUGGAAACGGUAGCUAAUACCGCAUAACGUCGCAAGACCAAAGAGGGGGACCUUCGGGCCUCUUGCCAUCGGAUGUGCUCAGAUGGGAUUAGCUAGUAGGUGGGGUAACGGCUCACCUAGGCGACGAUCCCUAGCUGGUCUGAGAGGAUGACCAGCCACACUGGAACUGAGACACGGUCCAG
Molecule: ribosomal RNA, 232 nt
Filed under: uncultured bacterium
Lineage: Bacteria
Description: partial 16S ribosomal RNA
Rfam family: Bacterial small subunit ribosomal RNA
Source: RNAcentral